RNA transcript from Dermacentor silvarum, 2304 nucleotides. It is a transcript of the gene named dynein light chain Tctex-type protein 2B-like, with no coding region annotated. The record is from RefSeq and is a predicted model, not a curated record. NCBI's taxonomy places the organism in Eukaryota, Metazoa, Arthropoda, Arachnida, Ixodida, Ixodidae. The transcript is spliced from 7 exons.
CUAAAAUGGCUGCCAACAUGUACGAGUUGCGCUUGGCACCUGAUAAAAAGUUUUCAGCCCAAGCUGCCCGAGAGUGCUUGAAAGAUGUCUUGAUGACCGAGUUUGACGACAAAAUUUACGAUUCCAGUCAGAUAGCAAAGUGGACGAAAGAAACCUCGCAAAGGAUAUGCGAAAGACUACAAGAAUUGGGUUUCGAAAGAUACAAGUACGUGGUGCAAGUAGUCAUCAGCGAACAGCGCGGUGAAGGAGCAAGGAUGGCUUGCCGCUGCCUUUGGGAUUCCGACACUGACGUCUGUGUUUCAGAGUUCUAUAAUGGAGACAGCUUGUUCUGUGCUGCUGUUGUCCUUGCCUCAUAUUACUACUAGACUUGGCCAGAGGGCUUCAUCAAGAUACCUUUCCUGCAUAGGCCCUACUUGACAGGCAUCAUGCCACGGCAGGAUGGAGCGGCACAGUAUUGGGAAAAUAGGAUAAAUGCUCAUGCGCUGCCAAGAACAGAGCUAGCUGUGGCUUCUAACAUCUGUUGUGCCUUCACUGGGGACAACCAAGAUGCUAUUGAGAAUAUUCUUUAGCCUUCAUCACGUGGCAUUAACCAGGUUUCAACUCAAGAUUCUCGCUGGCCUCAUGGUGUCUGAAAGGGUCUCGCCAGUUUCAAAGCUCUAGCAUACCUCACCAAGUGUAAUCCAUCUCCUGUCAUCAGUUAAGAAAAAAAAAUAAUUGCACUACAGUACGAAAACAGGAUUUGAUUUCUCACCAGGCACUACCUUACUCACCUGGUACCUACUACUAGGUGAGUGUCAGCAUGAUAGAUGAAGUACUGCUGCUUGUGAAACACUUAGUGCAUUUCAGAAAAAGUGAGGCAUGUGUCAGUGUCGAUAAUGAAGAAGCAAGAAAGAAGGGAUAAUCGUGACCAAAGGAGGAAGAAAUGGUUCUGCAUAGACAUGUUAUUGCAGUUUCUUGUGAUAGGUUUGAGGAAAAACUGAUGGCUGGAUGCUUGUUUUCUGAGCAUUUGGUUGUGCAGGUUUGCAUAUAACGGAAAUUUCAUUUUAACAAUCUCUAAGCUUGAGUGAAUAUUUGGUCUACCUUGUGUUUGUACAUCACAGAGACAAAUGCACGCAUGUUAUGUCUUGCACUUAAGCCCCACACUGACACCCUAGCCACUACUGCAGUGUGGGCUCUUGCUUGACAUGUUUACCAGCAAAGCAUACUGUCUCUGCAUAAAUGAUUCUUCAACAUUAUCACACCAGGAGGAGUAUUCUGUAAGUGUCCAGCUAGUGGACAUGUCCAUUUUGUCUGCUGCUGAAGUGCUGAUUGGCUGGGUGCACCAGUCUCCUUUUCAUGUGUACCCCAGCACAGCCAAUCAGAACUGCAGCAGCAGACAAAAUAGACCUGACCACUGGGUAGACGUUUAUACAAUACUCCUUCAGGUUGUUCACCAAACUGUGAUAUGCAGUCCAGCAGGAUCGACUGCAGUAGCCAUUGAACGACCUGUGCUUUGUUUCUUACAAUAUCGCUUUUGUGAGCAUACCAUCCAUUGUAACACGCAGUCUUCCUUUUCAUACACUUCAUCGAGCUUGUCUGUCAUAACACAUCUGUGGUCUGGGCAUAUGUGUCAAUGCAGAAGAGGAAGGUGAUGAAAGCAGUUAGAUAGUCUCUCCUAAUAAAAAAAAGACAGCAAUGAGAGUUGAUGCUAUUCAAAGUAUUCCAUGCUUACACCUACUUUUAGAUAUGAAACUGGUCUUUUUUUCUUUCAGUACAGGCUGUGUACUCUUCAGUAAAUUACAUAUGCUGGGCUAAAGAGAAGCAACCUACAAAUUUUCAUUUCUUUCUCUUAUUUAGACAUUUACAUGGGCCAACACUCAGAAUGAAUCAUAAUGUGUAAUCUGUCCAUGCAGCAGAAAUAAUUUAUGAAAGAAUUUUUUAAAAAUUGGGUUUGGGACAUCUCAAACUGUCCAACAGAUGAUAGCUGACGAUAGAAACAGACGAUUACUGUUGAGGUCAAAAGGCAGGUGAGAAAAUCGAAUGACAUGCACAAAAUUAGUUGCAGUAAUGUACAAAAAGCACAGAACUUAUGGACUGUGACUUAGAGGGCAAUGGGAAAUGCACCACCAGAUGUCACCAUGCUUGAGCUCGUUUGGUUAAAGCUACAUUUGUCACCUUGGCAUGUUGUGUUCUGGAUGAUUGUCUUCUGGAAACAUAAAUAGUAGUUAAAUAAUAAGGUAAGCUUAAAAAUAAUGCGUUUGGGAAUCCUACAUUUUGCUGCCAAAGCGCCAUUUUACUUUCAAUAAAUGUUCAUUGAUUCACUGA